GUAAGUAUAGUUUAACCAAAAUAUCAGAUUGUGAUUCUGAAGAUAGGGGCUAAAACCCCCUUACUCACC
This 69-nucleotide transfer RNA is filed under the name Campostoma anomalum (central stoneroller). Its description in RNAcentral is "tRNA-His". It matches the Rfam family "tRNA". From Rfam's summary of the family: Transfer RNA (tRNA) molecules are approximately 80 nucleotides in length. Their secondary structure includes four short double-helical elements and three loops (D, anti-codon, and T loops). The record is from RNAcentral. Lineage: Eukaryota; Metazoa; Chordata; Actinopteri; Cypriniformes; Leuciscidae.